Molecule: long non-coding RNA, 2943 nt
Organism: Felis catus (domestic cat)
Lineage: Eukaryota; Metazoa; Chordata; Mammalia; Carnivora; Felidae
Exons: 3
Source: RefSeq, a predicted model, not a curated record
UCGCGGGGCCCCAGACCCAGGCGAGGGGGGCGGGGCCCCAGAGGCCGCUCUCACCUCACGGUAGUUUGUUUGAAGCCGAGCCGCAAAGUGCGGUCUGCGCGGCGAUUGGGGGAGCUCCGCCACGUGAUCGCCGAGUGGCCCCACCCACAGCCUCCCUAGUUACCUGGGCUCCCCCGGCGCCCAGAGAGCCUCAGGGAUUGAGUCCGUCCCUUUUAGGAGUAUUGGGAAUGGGGCGUUUAUAGUUAGUCUAAUAAACUGGGAAGGGAGAGACGAUGGAUUCAAGUUCGAGCCAAUUCUCCCUUCUCGGUCGGCAAGAAGGGCUAUCUGUGGGCCCCAGUUUCACAGGCCUUCGGGAAACCGGCCUCAGUGCGCAGGCGCCGGAGGGGAGGUCGUGGGAAGGAACGCUGGCGCGCGGGCUCAGCUCCCCGUGCCACUGCGCAGGCGCGGGUCUUUGCGACGUCUCUGGGCUCGCGGCCCCGGGAGGCCCGUCUCUGCUGCGCGGUUUUUCUAGAUCAGCUCUUUCUGUGUCGCUUUCUUUAGAUCAUCUGUUCCUUGAGGGGCCGGGGUCUCCACGGUCCCCAGGACGUGCCCUCCCUCUCGCAGACUCCUAGGCCGGCCGAUCCCUCCUUCCCUGAAGUGAAGCGGGAAGCACGCCCACCCUCUCCAGCCCGUUUUUAACCGGUUGCUCACCUAAGCACCUUUUUAAAGUGGAAAAAGGGCAUCACGUUGGGAGGCUGAGCCGGGAACCCCGGAACCAGUGAGCUCACCUGUUACCCCAUUUCUUUAAUGAAGAAGAAAAUUAGGUUUUUUAGAAAAUUCUUUUAAUGUUUAUUUUUGAAAGAGAGAGAGAGGGGGAGACACAGAAUCCGAAGCAGGCUCCAGGUUCUAAACUGUCAGCACGGAGACCAACGUGGGGCUGGAACUCGCCAACCGGGAGAUAAUGACCUGAGUCGGGGUAUAAUGAGCUGAAGUCAGAGGCUUAGCCGACUUACGACCCAGGCGCCAUAAAAGUUACAUUUAGAAGAAGGAAUUGAGUGAGGUUACAAGUUUUUAAUCAGAAUUGUCAGCCGGAACUCUUGGAAAGAAGGAAAUGUUGGAGGACUCUGCAUCCAAAAGAUAGGAAACAGAUCAAAUGUCCCUCAUUUGAAGGGCCUGGCUAAACUAUGGCCCCUCGCAUGGUGUAAUAGUGAACUACAACAAAGAAUGAGCCAGCUCUUUAUAGAGGAAGUGAAUUUUGAAAACCACCAGUCAGACCAUGUACCUCCUGAUCUCAAUAACUAGCGUCUUCCUUUCUCAUUCAAGAAAGUCUGAGUCCUAGAGUGGCUUAUAAAGUCCCCUGCAGUUUGGCCCAGUUCACUGAUUUUCACAGAUGCUCCUUCUGUUUCGUCUUCCUCUUCUCAAACAGGCUGGGCACCCUCUGUUUCAGGGCCUUGUCACCUGCUGUUCCCUCUGCCUGGAAUGCCCUGCCUCAGACUAGUAUGGCUCUCUUCUUUUGGGGCUUUGCGUCUUUGCGCAGAUUUCACCCUCUCAAUUAGCGCCAGUCCUGACCUUUCAGUUUAAAAUUGCAACUCCCCAUCUCUGUUCUCUGCCUUUUUUUUUUCUACGUGGUGUUUAUUGAAUGUGUAACUAUAUUGAAUAUAAAGCUAUACAUUCAUUAGGCAACUCAGAAAGAAUUCAUGAGAAAAUGGUGCCAGCAGUUGCCUCUGUGGAGAACAACUAGCAGCAGGGUGAGAUUAAAAUUUAUCCUUUUCUCUUUUUUCCUCACUCCUGUCUGCAUUACAAACAAAAAAAAAAAAUUAACAUCAGCCCCUGAGUUUAUGGCACAGACAUGUACUGAGCACCUGUGCUGUGCCAGGCAUAUGUUAGGCCUUGGGGUAGAGAGACAGCAGACAGGACAUGUAGGGUAAAGACUCUGGGUAGUAGUUUAGAGGAGAGAAGGCACCCAAAUCAUCCUGGCAAGGGAAAGGGGAAGCCGCAGGCAGGGGACAGCACAGUCCAGGGCAUGUGGACUUACUAGAAUGUGACGGUCCCCCAGGGCCUGCUAAGUGGCAGUGAUGGACACAUGGAGAAUGGCCAAUGACAAUUAGAGAAAAGAGACAAAAUCCAAAAAAAGGGCAAACUGCAGGGGAUCAUUUGAUGCCAAGCUGCGUUUGGCCAUUAUCCAAGGAGAUGCUGAAAGGCCUUUCGAAGGGAAUGACCGGCUGAGAUCUGAACUUAACUCAUGAACUUUCUCCCAUGAGAAUUAAAGCUGCACGAAGCCAGAGGUGACGAACUGGUGGCCUACAGAUGUUUGCUUUGGACCAGGUUUGUUUGUUUGUUUUGUUUUGUUUUUUAAUUGGCCCACAUAAGAACAUGGAGGAACAAGAAUUCGAUAGGAAAACCAUUUGGCAGUAUCUCUUAAAGGUGCUGGGGAGACAGCAGUGAACACAGGAGCCAAGCCGUCUGUCCUCACGGGGUUUUCCUUCUACAGGAAGUACAACAAAGAAGUCCUCAUGCACUGGGACACACGCACACUUGUGUGCACACACUCAAGACUGCUUGAAGAUUCAGCUUUACUCAAGUGCAAUUUUCCAAGAGAUUCUCCUACUUCAUUCCUCGUUAGCUCUCUUGGACCCUAAAGCAGGCCGCCAACAUACCAGACCCGUGCAGGCCUCUGGCAGCUGACGCUCACCGCGGGGCUGGGAAGUUUGUGCCUUCCAGGUCACUGCCUGUGCUUGGUUUGUGCCAGUCACGGACACAACCGAUGCAGGCUUUACUUAAUUCACCCAAAUGUUGAUGACCCAGGUGCCCCUAGUAUGGUCUUCACAAGUAGGCAGAAUAACACCCCACCCCCCAAAUAUCUGCCUCUUAAUAUCCAGAACCUGUGACGAUGCUACCUUAUGUGGCAAAAGGACUUUGUAGAUGUGACUAAGUUAAAGAUUUUCAUUAAAAAAUUUUUUUAAA